AAUUAAAUAAUUAUUAAAAUUUGAAGUUUAAAUAAUUUUAAAAAAAUUAAUUUUGUUUUUAUUAAUUUGUAUAAAAAAAAUAUUUUUAUUAUAGUUUAUUAGUAUUGAGAAAGAAAUUUUUGAAUUAGUAUAAAGAAAAAUUAUUUUUUUGUACCUUGAGUAUCAGGGUUAAUUAAAUAAAAUUUAUUUAAUUUAAAUUUCUCGAAUUUAAAAGAUCUAUUUAUAUAUAUUUGUUAUUGUUGAAUAAAUAAAUUUAAUAUAUUUAUAGAAAUGAAAUGUUUUUCGUUUUUAAGUAUAUCUAGUUUUUUAAGAAAAAAUUUUAAUUUUAUUUUUAAUUUAUUAUAAAAUUAAAGUAUUUAAUUUUAUAAUAUUAAAAUUUUAUAAUUUAAGGGAUGAGCUUUAAAUUAGAUUAAUAUAUUUGUAUACAAAUUUUAUUUAAUUAAUAGGAUUAUAAGUUUCUAUUUAUAGUGUGUUUUGACUAAUUAAAUAAUAAAUUGGAUUUAUAUAAAAUUUAUUUGAAUUUAUUAAAAUAAAAUUUUUAAUUUAAAAUAGUUUGUAAUAAUGAUUAAAUUAGUAUAUUUAAAAUUUAAGUUAUGAGUCAAUAUAAAGGUAUAGUAAAGGAAUUCGGCAAAUAUAAAUUUUCACCUGUUUAUUAAAAACAUGUCCUUUUGAUUAUAAUUUAAGGUCGGGCCUGCUCAAUGAGUAUUAAAUGGCUGCGGUAAUUUGACCGUACAAAGGUAGCAUAAUCAUUAGUUUCUUAAUUAGAAGCUGGAAUGAAUGGUUUGAUGAAAAAAUAACUGUCUCUAUUAUAAUUAUAUAGAAUUUUAUUUUUAAGUAAAAAAGCUUAAAUAUAUAUUGAAGACGAGAAGACCCUAUAGAGUUUUAUAAUUAUGUAUAAUAAAGUAUUUAGUAUUUAUAAAUUUAUUAAGUAUAAUUAUUUAAUUGGGGUGAUUGAAAAAUUUAAAUAACUUUUUUUUAAUAAAAUCAUUUAUUUAUGAGUAUAAGAUCCUUAUUUUAAGAUAAUAAGAAAAAAUUACCUUAGGGAUAACAGCGUAAUUUUUUUUAAGAGUUCAAAUCUAAAAAAAAGUUUGCGACCUCGAUGUUGGAUUAAAAUUUAUUUUUGGUGUAGAAGCUAAGAUAUUAGGUCUGUUCGACCUUUAAAAUUUUACAUGAUCUGAGUUUAGACCGGUGUGAGCCAGGUUGGUUUCUAUCUCGAUAAAUUUUAUAAGUUUUAGUACGAAAGGACCAAAUUUUUAAUUUAUAAUUUUUAUAAGAAUAAGAAUAAUUU
This 1288-nucleotide ribosomal RNA is filed under the name Curculionoidea sp. 27 KM-2017. Its description in RNAcentral is "16S ribosomal RNA". The stretch from base 1044 to 1202 matches the Rfam family "Archaeal large subunit ribosomal RNA", at positions 2542 to 2701 of the family's 2987-position model. Lineage: Eukaryota; Metazoa; Arthropoda; Insecta; Coleoptera. The record is from RNAcentral.